Molecule: ribosomal RNA, 254 nt
Filed under: uncultured bacterium
Lineage: Bacteria
Description: partial 16S ribosomal RNA
Rfam family: Bacterial small subunit ribosomal RNA
Source: RNAcentral
UACGUAGGGGGCGAGCGUCGUCCGGAUUUAUUGGGCGUAAAGAGCGCGUAGGUGGCUCGACAAGUCGGAUGUGAAAACUCCAGGCUCAACCUGGAGACGCCACUCGAUACUGUCGUGGCUAGAGUUCGGUAGGGGAUCACGGAAUUCCUGGUGUAGCGGUGAAAUGCGGAGAUAUCAGGAGGAACACCGAUGGCGAAGGCAGUGAUCUGGGCCGAUACUGACACUGAGGCGCGAAAGCGUGGGUAGCGAACAGG